Molecule: small nucleolar RNA, 99 nt
Organism: Nannospalax galili (Upper Galilee mountains blind mole rat)
Lineage: Eukaryota; Metazoa; Chordata; Mammalia; Rodentia; Spalacidae
Product: small nucleolar RNA U13
Exons: 1
Source: RefSeq, a predicted model, not a curated record
AUGGUGUUUCAUAAAGAUGAUAGCUGAGUUUUCACAUUGGUGUCUGAGACCACCCUCCCUCAGUCCUUGUUACAAAGUUGACACAUUAUCCAUCUGGCA